CAGGAUAGAGGAUAGCUGACGGAAGUGGAAUUCCUGGUGGAGAGGUAAAAUCCGUAGAUAUCAGGAGGAACACCCGUGGCGUAGGCGGCUUCCGAACCUAUUCCGGACACUCAGGGACGAAAGCUAGGGGAGCAAACAGGAUUAGAUACCCUGGUAGUCCUAGCUGUAAACGAUGAAUACUAGAUAGUGGGUGCUACACCGUACUCACCGUCGUAGCUAACGCGUUAAGUAUUUCGCCUGGGAACUACGAUCGCAAGUUUGAAACUCAAAGGAAUUGACGGGUCCCCGCACAAGCAGCGAGGCAUGUGGCUUAAUUCGAUGCAACACGAAGAACCUUACCUGGACUUGACAUGUUUCUGAAAGGCCGGAGAAACCCGGUCCCUUCCAGUUUACUGGAACAGUUUCACAGGUGGUGCAUGGUUGUCGUCAGCUCGUGUCGUGAGAUGUAAGGUUAAGUCCUUAAACGAGCGUAACCUUUGUCAUUAGUUGCCACCGGUUCGGCCGAGCACUCUAAUGAGACCGCUAGCGACAAGCUAGAGGAAGAUGGAGAUGACGUCAAAUCCUCACGUCCCUUAUGUCCAGGGCCGCACACAUGCGACAAUGGUAGAGACAGCGGGUUGCGACGGGGUAACCCUGAGCUAAUCCAUAAACUCUGCCUCAGUACAGAUCGAGGGCUGAAAUUCGACCUCGUGAAGAUGGAGUUGCUAGUAAACGCAGGUCAGCUAUACUGCGUUGAAUACGUUCCCGGGGAUUGUACACACCGCCCGUCACACCACCUGAGUCGUGCGCACCCGAAGUCGGAUACCCUAACCUUUGGAAGGGUCUGCCGAAGGUGUGCUCGGUAAGGAGGGUGAAGU
Molecule: ribosomal RNA, 857 nt
Filed under: uncultured organism
Description: bacterial SSU rRNA
Rfam family: Bacterial small subunit ribosomal RNA
Source: RNAcentral